AGCGCAGUGGGGGAGCUCGGCCGUCCCCGUCGGUUUCAUACGCCGAAGAUCGUGGGUUCGAAUCCCACCUGCGCCA
Molecule: transfer RNA, 76 nt
Filed under: Actinoallomurus bryophytorum
Lineage: Bacteria; Bacillati; Actinomycetota; Actinomycetes; Streptosporangiales; Thermomonosporaceae
Also listed under: 2 other names
Rfam family: tRNA
About the family: Transfer RNA (tRNA) molecules are approximately 80 nucleotides in length. Their secondary structure includes four short double-helical elements and three loops (D, anti-codon, and T loops).
Source: Rfam by way of RNAcentral